This is a non-coding RNA of Phrynosoma platyrhinos (Desert horned lizard), 72 nucleotides long. NCBI's taxonomy places the organism in Eukaryota, Metazoa, Chordata, Lepidosauria, Squamata, Phrynosomatidae. The record is from the annotation of a GenBank genome assembly.
ACCAGCAUGAUGUAGUGGUUUGAAUGCUGGACUACAACUCUGGAGACUAGGGUUCGAAUCCCCACUCUGAUA